GUGGUGGUUGUUACGGUGGAAGAGGUGGUGGCUGAUAUCAAGGAGAUAGAUAGUGGUUGUUUUGCAAGAUGUGAUGGAAAAAAUAUGAAAGCAAAGAUUACAAAUUUGGUUAAUAAUUAAAAGAAAUGAUGACAAUAGUUACGGAGAGAUCCAAAUGAUUUAAAUUUUUUUUUUUACAAAAAGUGAAGGUGGAUUGAAAGAAGUAGUGAUGGUGGUAGUUAAUCGAAGAAGAAGUAUAUACAGUUUUUAACCGGUAAACAGGGAUAGUAUAGUAUAUAUUGUAAUAAUAGUGGAAGUUGUUUAUUUUUUAUUUAGAUACCUAAUCUUAUAU
RNAcentral lists this long non-coding RNA (331 nucleotides) under Brassica napus (rape). RNAcentral describes it as "long non-coding RNA (BNAP_LNC010676)". The record is from RNAcentral. Lineage: Eukaryota; Viridiplantae; Streptophyta; Magnoliopsida; Brassicales; Brassicaceae.